Molecule: long non-coding RNA, 930 nt
Organism: Acinonyx jubatus (cheetah)
Lineage: Eukaryota; Metazoa; Chordata; Mammalia; Carnivora; Felidae
Exons: 5
Source: RefSeq, a predicted model, not a curated record
AGUAGAGUAGCUACGUCACAGCGCCUGCGUCACUCACCUCUCUUCAUCCCAUUACGUAGGCAGUUUCACAUCUCACAACGUCACAAGAAGGCUUUCACUGCAUCUUUGGUGGAACAGUGUGACCUGAAGCUCUUCACAGCAGAUAUCAUCAUGUAAUACUUACUCUUUCGUGGCAUGACCUCAGUUGGUGUCAAGGUUUCAAAAGCCCAUGCAAUACGUCACACAUUCCUGACUCAAAAUUCUUGCCCACCAUGUAAAGGGGUUGCACGUUACAAGGAGCCUGGAAGAAACUGCCAGUGCACACUCUGAAGGACUUGUGUGGAACGCUUGGUGUUACGGGGAGACUGCUCGUAUAGAAAAGAGUUCAAACACAGUCCAUGGUGACCAGGCACAUGCUGAACUGGAUGGAGAUGAUACGACAAUUGGAAAAACCUGACUACCCUCCUGCUACUCUUCCACAAUGCUGACCAACUACUUCCUUGCCUGCCUGGAUCAUCCUGUUUGCGGACACUGGACAUCAUCUCCAGCAUAGUUACGUUAACUGGAUUUCCUCUGCUAUUUGCUUUUGAAUCCACCUGGGCUCCCCUCAGUGGGUGUGUCUAGUCUCUGGGUCCUGGCCUCAUUCAGUCUGGUCCAUCCUGCUGGGCACCUAGAUAGAAUAACAGUAACAUAAAUUUUAUACUUGAUUUUAGGAAAAACUUAUAGAUUCCCACAGGUAGAGCUAAAGCUGAACAAUGAGUGGGAAAAACUGUUACCCAGAGAGGGAGUUAAAAAUACACAUCUAACAAAAAUACUCAGGUUGGGUAAGGAGCCAAGAAUUCCCAAAUUUAUUUUCUCUUCCUACACUACUAUCACUAUUUUUAUCCUUAUUCCUCCAAUCAUCACUCCAUUAGAUCUUAACACAUUUUUUCCCUUGCCUUUAUUUAUUUA